UACAGAGGUCCCAAGCGUUGUUCGGAUUCACUGGGCGUAAAGGGUGCGUAGCGGUCGGGUAAGUCUGAUGUGAAAUCUCACAGCUUAACUGUGAAACUGCAUUGGAUACUAUCCGGCUCGAGGAAUGGAGGGGAGACUGGAAUACUUGGUGUAGCAGUGAAAUGCGUAGAUAUCAAGUGGAACACCAGUGGCGAAGGCGAGUCUCUGGACAUUUCCUGACGCUGAGGCACGAAAGCCAGGGGAGCAAACGGG
RNAcentral lists this ribosomal RNA (252 nucleotides) under uncultured bacterium. Its description in RNAcentral is "partial 16S ribosomal RNA". It matches the Rfam family "Bacterial small subunit ribosomal RNA", at positions 524 to 776 of the family's 1533-position model. The record is from RNAcentral.